Molecule: ribosomal RNA, 776 nt
Filed under: Photobacterium sp. MR08-57
Lineage: Bacteria; Pseudomonadati; Pseudomonadota; Gammaproteobacteria; Vibrionales; Vibrionaceae
Description: bacterial SSU rRNA
Rfam family: Bacterial small subunit ribosomal RNA
Source: RNAcentral
UGCAGUCGAGCGGCAGCGACUUACUGANCCUUCGGGGAACGUUAAGGGCGGCGAGCGGCGGACGGGUGAGUAAUGCCUGGGAAUAUGCCCUGAUGUGGGGGAUAACUAUUGGAAACGAUAGCUAAUACCGCAUAAUCUCUUCGGAGCAAAGAGGGGGACCUUCGGGCCUCUCGCGUCAGGAUUAGCCCAGGUGGGAUUAGCUUGUUGGUGAGGUAAUGGCUCACCAAGGCAACGAUCCCUAGCUGGUCUGAGAGGAUGAUCAGCCACACUGGAACUGAGACACGGUCCAGACUCCUACGGGAGGCAGCAGUGGGGAAUAUUGCACAAUGGGGGAAACCCUGAUGCAGCCAUGCCGCGUGUGUGAAGAAGGCCUUCGGGUUGUAAAGCACUUUCAGUAGGGAGGAAGGUAGUGUAGUUAACACCUGCNNUAUUUGACGUUACCUACAGAAGAAGCACCGGCUAACUCCGUGCCAGCAGCCGCGGUAAUACGGAGGGUGCGAGCGUUAAUCGGAAUUACUGGGCGUAAAGCGCAUGCAGGCGGCCUGUUAAGUCAGAUGUGAAAGCCCGGGGCUUAACCUCGGAAUUGCAUUUGAAACUGGCAGGCUAGAGUCUUGUAGAGGGGGGUAGAAUUUCAGGUGUAGCGGUGAAAUGCGUANAGAUCUGAAGGAAUACCAGUGGCGAAGGCGGCCCCCUGNACAAAGACUGACGCUCANAUGCGAAAGCGUGGGGAGCAAACAGGAUUAGAUACCCUGNNAGUCCACGCCGUAAACGAUGUC